RNAcentral lists this ribosomal RNA (527 nucleotides) under uncultured bacterium. Its description in RNAcentral is "bacterial SSU rRNA". It matches the Rfam family "Bacterial small subunit ribosomal RNA", at positions 777 to 1301 of the family's 1533-position model. The record is from RNAcentral.
AAUAGAUACCCCGGUAGUCCACGCCGUAAACGAUGAGUGCUAAGUGUUAGAGGGUUUCCGCCCUUUAGUGCUGCAGCUAACGCAUUAAGCACUCCGCCUGGGGAGUACGGCCGCAAGGCUGAAACUCAAAGGAAUUGACGGGGGCCCGCACAAGCGGUGGAGCAUGUGGUUUAAUUCGAAGCAACGCGAAGAACCUUACCAGGUCUUGACAUCCUCUGACACUCCUAGAGAUAGGACUUUCCCCUUCGGGGGACAGAGUGACAGGUGGUGCAUGGUUGUCGUCAGCUCGUGUCGUGAGAUGUUGGGUUAAGUCCCGCAACGAGCGCAACCCUUGAUCUUAGUUGCCAGCAUUCAGUUGGGCACUCUAAGGUGACUGCCGGUGACAAACCGGAGGAAGGUGGGGAUGACGUCAAAUCAUCAUGCCCCUUAUGACCUGGGCUACACACGUGCUACAAUGGAUGGUACAAAGGGCAGCAAAGCCGCGAGGCCUAGCCAAUCCCAUAAAACCAUUCGUCAGUUCGGAUUGU